CCUGGCUCUGUGGACAACAUGGCUGCGCCCGCGCUAGGGCCAGCUGGUAGACACUGUGCCGGGCUGGGUUGCGUCCUUUUGCUACCGCUGGUAUUGCUGCUGCGCGGGGCGGCAGGCGACGAGGAGUCCGGAGCCGGGGCUUGCGCGGCGUCCUUCGCAGGCUCCUGCGGCUGCGGCGCGCCGCAGCGGCCCGGGACCCAUGGCAGCUCGGCAGCGGCGCACCGAUACUCGCGGGAGGCGAACGUUCCGGGCCCUGUCCCCGGAGAGCGCCCGCUUGCCUCCCCUAAGAUGGUCCCCAUUCCUGCUGGAGUAUUCACAAUGGGCACAGAUGAUCCUAAGAUACAGCAGGAUGGGGAAGCCCCUGCCCGGAGAGUCAUGAUCGAUGCCUUUUACAUGGAUGCCUAUGAAGUCAGUAAUGCUGAAUUUGAGAAGUUUGUGAACUCAACAGGCUAUUUGACAGAGGCUGAGAAGUUUGGUGACUCAUUUGUCUUCGAAGGCAUGUUGAGUGAGCAAGUGAAGACUGACAUCCAACAGGCAGUGGCAGCUGCUCCCUGGUGGUUACCUGUUAAAGGCGCUAACUGGAGACACCCAGAAGGGCCCGACUCUACUGUUGUUCACAGGCUGGAUCACCCGGUUCUCCAUGUCUCCUGGAACGACGCCGUGGCCUACUGCACGUGGGCGGGAAAGCGGUUGCCCACAGAAGCUGAAUGGGAAUAUAGCUGCCGAGGAGGCCUGGAAAAUAGGCUUUUCCCCUGGGGCAACAAACUGCAGCCAAAAGGUCAACAUUAUGCCAACGUUUGGCAGGGAGAGUUUCCUGUGAGCAACACUGGAGAGGACGGCUUCCGGGGAACUGCACCCGUCGACGCCUUUCCUCCCAAUGGUUAUGGCUUGUACAACAUAGUGGGGAACGCGUGGGAGUGGACCUCAGACUGGUGGACCGUUCACCAUUCUGCUGAAGAAAUGGUUAACCCGAAAGGCCCCCCUUCUGGGAAAGACCGGGUGAAGAAAGGUGGAUCCUACAUGUGCCAUAAGUCCUACUGCUAUAGGUAUCGCUGUGCUGCUCGGAGCCAGAACACACCCGACAGCUCCGCUUCAAAUUUGGGAUUCCGCUGUGCAGCAGACCGCCUGCCCACCGUGGGCUAACAGGCAGGAGGAGCCUUUCGUAAAUCCAAGAAGAAGGGGGUCCAGCCUGUAUUCAGCUUGCCUCAGAACUUUGAACAAUCCCAUGCAAAGAAGUUCCCACCCUGAGGUGGGCUACACACCUGUCCAAUGGCCAAAGGAACCGUCUCACAAGACCAAAUCACUGACCGGUGUCAGUGCCCGUGCUUUAUUGUGGGGGGUGGAGUGGAAGAUGGCUGGGUAUAUGUGAAACAUUCAUCCGCUGGAAAUAAUGAAGAUCAAAGCUUCUCGCCAUCUUCACUGUCCAUCAGGUUAAGAAAUCUUCCUGAAUAGUCAUAAGAGAGUUCUUCUUCUGGCAAAAUGUCUUUGGCUGCAAACAGGGCCAACUUAGGUACCAUGGAGUCAAUUCGGACAGGAAUCAUUAACAGAUGAUUCCUUUUAAACUCAAGUCUGACUGAUGGCAGUUUUCUAACCAGGAGAGCAUUAUUAUUCCUUGUUGAUUUGAUCUGCAUAUGGAUAGGUAUGGAAAAAUACUUUUAUCUGCUUAUUUUUAAGAUUUUGGGGAAUCUAGUGAUAUAUUUUUUAAUUCUGCAACCCAAACUUGAUGCCCAAUCUGAGAUCCUUUAGGGACUUAGACUACAAAUGGUAGCUGAUUCUAAAUGAGCUGCAGACACCUUACAAAGAACAACAGAGACCUCUGGAUAAAUUUCUUGUUUAAAGAGAAUAUUUUUUUCCUUGAUGGAUGUAAUCAUUGACCCUGAGACCAAUAAUCAUUGCAAACCAUUUGAUCUACCAAGACUCCACUUUCUCCUCCACCAGUAAAAUACUAUUCCAGAAAGACAGUUUACCUGACUUAGACAAAUGACUAUACCUGACUUAGAAAAAUGACUACAGUAAAGAAUAAUCUUUUGAAAUCCUUGGUUUAAUUUAUCAUGAUUAUCAAAUUAUUCAUCUUUUCUGGUUUAUAACUACAUAUUUAAAAAUUAUUUGUUCUUUUCAGAAACAAUCUGAUGUUAGUAACCUGCCGUUCUAUUCAAAUAUUUAUAUGCCAAGCAAACUGUUAAACUUUGAGUAUCUGAAAGAUUAUGGUAAGUGCGUUACAAACUGGGAGUCAGUUGACCUGAGCUUAAAUUCUCCCGAUUUGUAACUCUUUUCAUAGUUUGUACCCCACUUCCUGGAACAAAGCCCAGGACCAUGCUGAUCCAAAAAUGGUGUUACCCUGAGGGUUGUUUGUGCCUACACUAAGCCAAGGGGAGGUCAAAGCUUGGAGGAGAUGCUGACCAGAGUGGACAUAUGUUUUUACCUACACAGCAUCUACUCCUCUUUCUUCUGAUAACAGCAUCCCAGUUCUUCCCAGGGGAAUCCUCCCUGCUCUUAUUCUCAUUAGUUUGGAUGGGGGUCCAGCUUGGGCUGAGACCUAGACCAGCUAAUGAAAACAUCAUAGGCCCCUAUUACCAGUGUUUUGUUCAUGGACGGGCACAUGACUUAAGCCAGACCAAUGAAAUUUAAUUCUGGGAAGUAUGCUGAAACAAUUGGGGAAGAAGUCUUUCUCAUUCCACUGGGAUUGCUAAACCAGUAGAGGACACACCUAACAUUUCCAAGUGCUACUACAUAGAUAAGAUCUACUGAGUGUGCUGCCAACCACUGGAGAAGGGAGUAGAGAUGCCAAGUGGGGUGGUGACUGGUAUCUGAUGAUACUGUUUGAAUCCUUGGAUCCAGACAUGCCUAUAGGUACCAUUCCUGGGCUUUUCUGUUAUGUGAGGCAAUUCCUUCCCUUUUUUGCUUGGGCCAGUUUGUGUUGUGUUCUUGCGACCAAAUGAGUCCUGACAGACACAACCAGGGUAGAAGCUGAGAAAGAAUGGCUCCAGUGAAAGGCAGGCAAGUUUAGCCAAAGAUGUAAAUGACCAAUGAGGUCUCCAACUAGGAGGUAAGACUGGAGCAAACUGUGGAGGCCAGAGAGGAAAGUUCUACGACUGUGCCCUGAAACACUGGAAAGCAGAGGAGAGCUUCUUAAUGCAGAACAUAGAAUGUCCAACAGGAGACACAUACAGAGCCAGACUCUUUUUUUGCAUUGUUUCUUUAGGCAAGUGACUUUGCUAAGCUCUGGGUUAACCAGUAACUAGUUGCCUUUGAGUUGAAUCCAACUCAUGGUGACCGCAUGUGUGUCAAGGAACUGUGCUCCAUAGGGUUUUCAAUGGCUGAUUUUUUC
This is an RNA transcript of Trichechus manatus latirostris (Florida manatee), 3328 nucleotides long. It is a transcript of the gene named sulfatase modifying factor 1, with no coding region annotated. Lineage: Eukaryota; Metazoa; Chordata; Mammalia; Sirenia; Trichechidae. The record is from RefSeq and is a predicted model, not a curated record. The transcript has 12 exons.